AACGAACGCUGGCGGCAUGCCUAACACAUGCCAGUCGAACGAGACCUUCGGGUCUAGUGGCGCACGGGUGCGUAACGCGUGGGAACCUGCCCUUAGGUUCGGAAUAACUCCCCGAAAGGGGUACUAAUACCGGAUAAUGUCUUCGGACCAAAGAUUUAUCGCCUUUGGAUGGGCCCGCGUUGGAUUAGCUAGUUGGUAGGGUAAAAGCCUACCAAGGCGACGAUCCAUAGCUGGUCUGAGAGGAUGAUCAGCCACACUGGGACUGAGACACGGCCCAGACUCCUACGGGAGGCAGCAGUGGGGAAUAUUGGACAAUGGGCGAAAGCCUGAUCCAGCAAUGCCGCGUGAGUGAUGAAGGCCUUAGGGUUGUAAAGCUCUUUUACCCGGGAUGAUAAUGACAGUACCGGGAGAAUAAGCUCCGGCUAACUCCGUG
Molecule: ribosomal RNA, 433 nt
Filed under: uncultured bacterium
Lineage: Bacteria
Description: partial 16S ribosomal RNA
Rfam family: Bacterial small subunit ribosomal RNA
Source: RNAcentral